RNAcentral lists this transfer RNA (71 nucleotides) under Marmota monax (woodchuck). RNAcentral's name for it is "tRNA.Pro". The record is from RNAcentral. Lineage: Eukaryota; Metazoa; Chordata; Mammalia; Rodentia; Sciuridae.
GAUGGUACAGCUCAAUGGUAGAGUAUGUGCUUAGGAUACAUGAGGCCCUGGGUUCCUUCCCAGUACUCCCC